AAAACGCUGUCGAGUUUGCCUUUCGGCAAACAUCGGAUAUUAUAUGCCGUUUCUCAUUGCAUUACGAAACGGCUGAAAAUCAUCAAUGCUCGAUUUUUGAUAAAAUCUGCGCUUGAUGAUUUUAUCU
This is a regulatory RNA element of Treponema pedis str. T A4, 127 nucleotides long. It matches the Rfam family "TD-1 RNA". From Rfam's summary of the family: non coding RNA found in Treponema denticola The record is from Rfam. Lineage: Bacteria; Pseudomonadati; Spirochaetota; Spirochaetia; Treponematales; Treponemataceae.